Molecule: RNA transcript, 7598 nt
Organism: Alligator sinensis (Chinese alligator)
Lineage: Eukaryota; Metazoa; Chordata; Crocodylia; Alligatoridae
Gene: LARP1B
Gene name: La ribonucleoprotein domain family member 1B
Exons: 20
Source: RefSeq, a predicted model, not a curated record
GGUCAUACUUAAUGUGUUAUUGCAUUAAUUGGAAACAUCAAGCUGUGUACAUUUAAAAUUGCAAAAAAAAAAAAAGUCAGAUGUCACUGUCCCUCAGAUUAGUGUUCGUUUGAGUGGCAGAAUUGGAAUGGCUUCUCUACUAUAAAGCAUGUUUCAUGUGAGGAGUACUAUGGAAUAUUUACACCUUAUUUUUGCAUGAAUGAAAUUUGGAGCAAGGCUGCUUCUUCUCAGGAGAGUGUCAUUCUCACUAGGCUGCCAAAUCAGACUCCAUCUUGCAUGUUGUCCUCUGGCUCUAUGAAUCUUACAUUUCUUUCCAUCUAGUCCAGCUUCAACAGGAUUCUGGUCUUGCCCAAAGACUGGUGGUUGAAGUAAGAAGCAGGAAGUGAGAGAUGUGGCGGAGUGGGGGGCCUCAACCUCAGGUGACCCAUGUUCUGGAACUGCAGAAUUUUGCUAAAGUUAUAAAAGCAGGACGACCCAAGCCGAGGAAACCCAGCAAGACUAGUGACUUCGGUGAUAUCACCAAUUGGCCAACACCAAGUGAAAUAGCAAACAAUGAAUGCAAAGUAAAUCAGAAUAAAAAGCCACCAAAUAGAAAAGAAAAGGAAGAGAAACAUGAGAAGAGAGCUAGCAAUGAAAUCAAAGAAACCCUGGAAGUAAAGCCAGAUGGUCUUGGAGAAAUUGUUAGUGAAGAUGAAGCUCAGUGUAACAGUCAAAGGAAAAAAGGUAACAAGCAAAAAUGGGUACCACUUAAUUUGGAUGAUGUAAAACCUGAUAGCCCAGAAAGACCAGGAUCUCGAAAUAGCUCAAAAUCUCAGCCUGAAACAAAUAAAUUAGCAACACCUACCAACAGAAGAACUGAGACAAGAAGCUGGCGCCGUGAUAGGGAAAAGAGAGAUGACCAUGAUGAAGUUUCCAGUGUGAGAAGUGAGGGUGGAAGUGUUCGAGGACUCUUUAGAGGCCGAGGAAGAGGUCGAGGCCGAGGAAGAGGGCGUGGCAGAGGAAACCCUAGAGUGAACUAUGAGUAUUCAUAUGGUCACCAAGAAUUGUAUGGUGAAAGGACUGAUCAGGCAUUUCAACCAGAACUUAACACUAGUAUGAUGUAUUACUAUGAUGAUGGAACGGGAGUGCAGAUGUAUUCUGUGGAUGAAACACUGCUCAAAGAAUACAUUAAACGUCAGAUUGAGUAUUAUUUCAGCACAGAAAAUUUGGAAAGAGACUUCUUUCUGAGAAGAAAGAUGGACCAACAAGGAUUCUUACCUAUUUCUUUGAUUGCCACCUUCCACCGUGUGCAAGCUCUGACUACAAAUGUUAACCUCAUCCUAGAGGCUCUAAAGGAAAGUACAGAAGUGGAAAUAAUAGAUCAGAAGAUGAGGAAAAGGAUAGAUCCAGAAAAAUGGCCAAUUCCUGGUGCCUCUCCAUGUAAUCUGCAACAGACUGACUUCUCUCAGCUCAUCAACUGCCCAGAAUUCAUACCAGGCAAAGCAUUUGGCUCUCAUACUGAGUCUGCACCAAGCUCUCCCAGAAUGGGAAGUCCAAUAAGUCCAAAGACAAGUAGUGAAACCAGUAACCUUCAAACAAUGUCUAAAGGAUUGUCUACAAGUCUGCCAGAUCUGGACUCUGAACCUUGGAUAGAAGUAAAAAAGAGACAUCAUCCAUCAACAGUUAAAUUAAAGGAAUCUGCACCUCCACUUGAUCAAACAACAAAUCAGCAAAAGCAGCCCCCACCUCGAGAGGAACAAGAGCAAGAAGAGCUUGACUUUUUAUUUGAUGAAGAGAUGGAACAAAUAGAAGGUCGCAAAAAUAAGUUUACAGAUUGGUCAGACAGCGAUUCGGAUUAUGAAAUUGAUGACCAAGAUGUAAACAAGAUUUUGAUUGUAACACAGACACCUCCUUACAUGAGAAAACAUCCUGGUGGAGAUCGUACUGGUAAUCAUGUGUCUCGUGCAAAAAUUACAUCAGAACUUGCUAAAGUCAUUAAUGAUGGUUUAUACUAUUAUGAACAGGAUUUGUGGAUGGAGCAAGGUGAGAUCGAUUCAGCAGCUAUGAAGCAAGAGGUUGAAAACUUUAAGAAGCUUAAUCUCAUUAGUAAAGAAGAGUUUGACAGUCUUGCACCUGAACCAGUCAUUGAUCCAAACCAGGAAGUUCCUCCAGGGCCUCCAAGAUCACAGCACGAUUUAACAGAUCAACUGUCUUGUAAACUGUUUGUUGUAGAAGUACCUCCAACAGCAAUGGCUCGUUCACUGCCAACAGCGGUCCCAGAGUCUCCAAGGGUUCAUCCUGCCAGAACACCCAAAACGCCUCAGACCCCACGGCUCCAAGAUCCCAACAAAACGCCAAGAUUCUAUCCUGUGGUUAAAGAAGCAAAAUCCAUUGAUGUAAAGACUCUGAGGAAGAGGAAAACACGACAUAGUACAAACCCUCCAUUAGAAAGCCAUGUUGGUUGGGUAAUGGAUUCCAGAGACCACAGGACAAGGACAUCCUCUGUGAGCAGUUCAAAUGCUUCACCCUCAGAAGGUGCCCCCCUUGCAGGAAGUUAUGGGUGUACUCCUCACUCGCUUCCCAAAUUUCAGCAUCCUUCUCAUGAACUUUUAAAGGAAAAUGGCUUUACACAACAAAUCUACCACAAAUACCGUCGAAGGUGCCUAAUGGAAAGGAAACGUUUGGGAAUUGGCCAGUCCCAAGAAAUGAACACACUUUUUCGUUUCUGGUCCUUUUUUCUCAGAGAUCACUUUAACAAGAAGAUGUAUGAGGAAUUCAGACAGCUUGCUCUAGAUGAUGCAAAAGAGCACUACAGGUAUGGAUUAGAGUGUUUGUUCAGAUUUUACAGCUAUGGUCUGGAAAAAAAAUUCAGGCAAGAGAUUUUCAAGGAUUUUCAAGAAGAAACAAAAAAGGACUAUGAAUCUGGUCAGCUGUAUGGCCUAGAAAAGUUUUGGGCUUAUUUAAAAUACUCUCAAUAUAAGACUCUACCCAUUGACCCCAAAUUGCAAGAAUACCUCAGUAACUUUAAGAGAUUGGAGGACUUCAGAGUUGAUCCUCCUAUCAGUGAAGAAUCUGGAAGAAAAAGACCUCCUAAUGGAAUUGGUGAGGAGACUGGUCAUUCUAGACACCAGUCUAAUUCCUCUACUAAGACGCUGCUUGCUGCUAGACCUUCAGCUGCCAAUCAAUCUCAGGUCCCAGGAAACUUUUCCAGUAGGAAUACUUUACAGGAGUCUAGUGACAACAUAGGCCACAACAGUGCUGCCACAAAAUCAGUAGAUGGUGACAUGCCUGAGAAAUAGACGUAAGAUGUGCUUGUGCCCUUGAGAUCAUCCUUUACAUCAGUGUUUAAGUAUAGCAUCUUCAGGGGAGCUGUUACAAUGCGCGAUUAAAAACAAAAGUAUAGGAAGACGAAGGAUUGCAUUUUUCUCUUUCACAAGAUUAAGUCUGAAAUACUUUCCCUAAUAACCUUUUCCAGAUCACAGUUCACAACUCAGGCUUCAGAUGUGGUUGUGAACUUUUUUACAUACAUGGAUGAAAAUAGGUGAAAACAGAGGCUGAGCAUAUCCAGGCUUUCGGCAGUUUUGACUGAAUCAUUUUCGUGAGAAGUAAACUAAAGUUUUUUAUGCUGUGAGAGGACAAGUCUAGCAUCACGUGGAUUCCACUUUUGGUAAAUGCUCCAUACAUGCAAGAUCUGAGGUUUUUUUGAAUAGUGGCAUCCAUGCUUCAUAGUAAGUAAUGUAAAGAGAAGAAUUGCAAUAACUGCCUUUAAAUUACUUCUUGCUCCCUGUGACAGUUAGAUGGAACUUCUGCAUGGGCUGUACACACUGGUUGCAUCUACACUUGCAGUUUAUUAUGCAGUAGAUUCAUUUACUGCACAGUAAAGCAUCAUUGUCUACACGUGCAUGGCAAUUGGGACAGUGUAGACUAAUUUACAGCACCACUGGAUAAUCCCAUCAGACACAGGUACUAUUUGAAAGUGGAUAGUAUCCGACUGCACUUAAACACAAAUGUAGGCAGUGAUGUUGGGAUUAGUUUACUCUGGCUUAAAUUGUUCCAGAGUUUAUUUAGUUGCAUUCAUUACAGACGUGGACGUGCCCACUUUGUGCUUGUUUUCUCUGGUUAGUAGGUUAUAGUGGUAUGGUCGAUUCUUAGCAUAGUUACACCAUUAAAAGAGUAUGAAAGAAAAGUUGUUCAGAUCCAGGUAGUGACAGAUGCUACUCCCUUCCUUCUGUCAUGGCUUUGUGUGGUUGAGAUAACCAGGAUUUAUAUUUUGCUCCUUCUAUACUGGGUAGCUGUUCUGGAUGGACACUUUGGGCAUGUCCAGACAAGUGCAGAGGUGCGGUAUGUGGUGCCACAGACCUGUCUGCGGCUCCACACACUGAACAUGUAGGCAUUUCCCAAGCUGCUACUUUGCAGCACAGGGGGGCUUUUUGACCCUGGAAGAUCCUGGAGUAAAAAAAAUCCACACCAAGAAAAAAGUGGGGCAGCGCACAUUGCGGCAGCGUGUGCUACCCAAAACCAGAGCCUGACCAGCCAGAGCCACACUUUGACUGCCGGCCAGGCUUCCUGCUCCUGCUGUGGCUACAGCUCCUGGAGGCCCCCAGGACCCCAGGUAAGGCUCCUGGGGCCAGCACAACUGCUGGCCCCAGCCUCUCCUAUUCCCCACUUCCCCCCUGGGGUAACCUACCAUGCACCAGAACACACACGGCACAGGUAUUUGCCAAGGACAAGUUUUGCUUCUCAUCCUCAGGGAGAAACCCGUUCCUGCUUGUCUGGAUGCACCCUUGAGGUGCCCUCUUCUGCCUUAGUCAAGUGUUAUACUUAGUGCUAAGAGAGGAAACAGAAACAAGGAAAUUGCUUCUUAAACUCUUCCUUCUGGAGAAAUCCAUAAGGGCAUGACAAUUACCAGACUUUCUCUGUGUGCUCUGGUCAACUGUGGAUCCAUUCCUGACUCAUUUGACUUCAAGGAACUCUUCCUCGGCCUUGAGGCCUGAGCUAAAUUUGAGUCCCGUUGCUGUCAUCAGACUUUCUGAAAUGGUGCCACAGUUAUGCCUUGAAUGUUAUUAAAACAAACAUUCUCCCCACCUCCCUUUUUUCUUCCUCCUUUCAUUUUAUCUCUCUCUCACUGAUACUGUGUGUAAACAUGAGCCAGACAGUUUGUCAGCAAUCAGUACUGCCCCUGGAUAGUGUAAUGGAAUCAGACAAAACAUUUGGCACUGAUGUUGCUGUUAUCUUCAGUAUUUUUUGCUGUGCCAUCUACUGGUAAAACUCAGUGUUGCUAAGUAAAUUGUCCAGUUCUACUAAUUUUGUCUCAAAUAAGCACAUUUCUAUCUCAAACAACCUACAGAAGGAGCUUACCCUGCUUCUCCAAAUAGUCUUUUUUCCUACACAGCUGCCUUUUGUAAUUUUUUUUUUACUUCUUUAAGAUGCAAUACAAAAAUCAGAAAAACAUACCAACUUGUACACUAUAAACUGUCACAAACAAUAAGCAAUGCAAGGAAAAAGAACAAAAGGAGGGACAGAAGAAGAGAAGCAUACAAUGAGCAACAAUCUAGAGUCCUCCCAAAAUUUUGCACUAAACAUGAAGGAAUUAAUCCUGUUAACCUUGACUCUCCGUAGAUGCUAGCUGUGCCAUCUCCAACUGUACCACAUUUUAGCCUUUGGAGAUAUCGCUACACUGAAAAGUAGGACAUAAUCCUACAUGUUACUAAUGAGGCCUGCAAUAGGUAUGCAAUUUUAUAAGGAUUCAAUCUUAAUUCCUUGAGGAUAGACCCAAGAACAUACAUAUUUGUCAAAGGUAUCAAGUGUUAUGUUCAAAACCAUGUUAACUUCAGUUAUAAUUUCUUUCCAAAAGUAAUUAAAGGGCAUGAUCAAAAUGUGACCAAGGGUCGCCUGCUAUACAUCACAUCUCCAACAUGUAUCUAUUGGCAGCAUAUUUAAUUUUUUAAGCUAGGAGGAAGCCUUGUGCAGAUGAAAACAUCUUUGAUUAAGUCUAAGGUCAAUUGUUAAUGUUCAAAUGUUGUGAAUUGCUGAUUUACAUUAAGAUCGUCAUCUAGGCUGCUUUCAAACAAAAACACCCCUGCAGUGCCUUAAAUUUUGCGCCCAGCACAUGGCCAGACGAAGCAGCACGUUAGUUGGACCUGGCUCACCCAACAUCUGCAUAGAUUGGGUGCUUUAGUGGGGCUUUUCUGGUACUUUUAUCUAAUAGCUGAUUGAAUCCUCGUUGUAGAAAAGUACCAAGAAGCUCCACUGAAGCAACCAAUCUAUACAGACACUGCAGAGCCAGAUCAAAGUAACCUGCUGCCUCUUUUGGCAAAGUGUGUUUUUUGGGGGUUUUUGGUUUGUAUUUUUUUUUAACGUCUGCAAGCAGGCUGGAAACCUAGGUUUCCAUUCCAUUUAAGUCUUAAUUAGUGACUGUCUCUUCUAUUUGGAUGGUAAAGCUAGCACUUCUGGCCUGUUGGUGUCAACGGCAAGAGUAACAUGAUAGAACUGUAAUUUAGCUGUCCUACAGCUGAUUAGACCUUAUCUACACACAGCACCAGUAAUUUAACUAAACUGGUGCAAUCCUAUUUGUGUACAUGUAAUGGGUGCUUAAGGUUAAUUAUGUAUAACUCUAUUACAUACUCCUUUAUUUCGCCAGAUUUUAGUUUCUUCCAUAAAUUUUCUGGCUUGAGCCAGAUCACUUAGAAUAAUCAACAGAGGUUUGGUUAUUUUCAACUGCAUGUUCGUCUUCAUCUCAAGUAGUAGAGUGUAGAAUCUGUUCUGACAGUAUUACAUUUUAGGAGACUCAUAGCAGGAGUCAGUGCUUUCACUGAAUAGUUACUUGUAGAAGGUGGGGACCUACAGUCUGUCAUCACAGGUGCCUCUCUCCAAGAUUCAUUCAGCCUGUAUCCUACAGGCUAUGGCUACUGCAGCGUUUUAAGUUCUUUAAUAGGCUAAGUAUCUGACUUUCAAUAACUGCACAUGUAAAGUCAUUCUUUUUUACAUGCUAUGGGACAUUUAACUUGUGCAAUCACUUAAGUUGUUAGGAUAGAGUUAGGUUGCAGCUAUCUUUUCAGCUCAGUUACACAGCUUUACUCAGUUGUCCAUGUGAGAACACAAAUAAUACAACCAGUCAAGAAGAGGAGAGAGAGAGAGAGAGAGAGAGAGAGAGAGAGGGAAGUCUGUACUACUCAUGCUGAUUGGUGGUUAAAUGUACCAUAGCCACUUGAAAGUUGGCAUCUUACAGGCAGGAACAUAUCGAGAUAAUUAGGCUAAAAAAGGAGGGGAAAUUUUACUUUCUUCUCUCAUUGAGAGAAUGAAUGUGGAUAGCCAUUAGCAGAAGCCCAGGAGAGUCUAUCUUGAAGGUUGUUGAUUGGCUUGACAUGCAUUUGAACCUCAAAUAUAUAGGACCAAUUGGAGGCUUUUCUUUCCUCCUGCACCCAACACAUUUCUCUCUACAGUUCUAGAUCCACUAUCCUUCACUAUAUCCACUACACUUCGAGCUUCAGUGUCUUGUCUUACCUGUGCUCUAACAUUUGUUUAACAUCUCUCCCACUUAGAGAGUUGGUGCAAUAAAAAAAAAUGAUGCAAACAAUCCUUGUUUCAUAUAUAUUCUGGAUGGUCACUGCUCCAGCAAC